Molecule: ribosomal RNA, 221 nt
Filed under: uncultured Candidatus Accumulibacter sp.
Lineage: Bacteria; Pseudomonadati; Pseudomonadota; Betaproteobacteria
Description: partial 16S ribosomal RNA
Rfam family: Bacterial small subunit ribosomal RNA
Source: RNAcentral
CCUUCUGGAGUUGGCAGAGGGGGGUGGAAUUCCACGUGUAGCAGUGAAAUGCGUAAAGAUGUGGAGGAACACCAAUGGCGAAGGCAGCCCCCUGGGUCGAUACUGACGCUCAUGCACGAAAGCGUGGGUAGCAAACAGGAUUAGAUACCCUGGUAGUCCACGCCCUAAACGAUGUCAACUAGGUGUUGGGAGGGUAAAACCUUUUAGUGCCGUAGCUAACG